Molecule: ribosomal RNA, 275 nt
Filed under: uncultured bacterium
Lineage: Bacteria
Description: partial 16S ribosomal RNA
Rfam family: Bacterial small subunit ribosomal RNA
Source: RNAcentral
CCUACGGGUGGCUGCAGUAAGGAAUAUUGGACAAUGGAGGCAACUCUGAUCCAGCCAUGCCGCGUGAAGGAUGAAGGCGCUCAGCGUUGUAAACUUCUUUUGGGCGGGAACAAAACCCCCGACGUGUCGGGGACUGAGGGUACCGUCAGAAUAAGCACCGGCUAACUCCGUGCCAGCAGCCGCGGUAAUACGGAGGGUGCGAGCGUUAUCCGGAAUCACUGGGUUUAAAGGGUGCGUAGGCGGUCGGAUAAGUCAGUCGUGAAAUUCCCCGGCUC